Molecule: long non-coding RNA, 2097 nt
Filed under: Helianthus annuus (common sunflower)
Lineage: Eukaryota; Viridiplantae; Streptophyta; Magnoliopsida; Asterales; Asteraceae
Description: hypothetical non coding rna
Source: RNAcentral
GUUUACUAAGCCCAUGACUCAGGACAAGCAUGAUCAGCACAUUGUUGCUAUCGGGCUUAGAUUAGCUAGCAGUAUGUUUUGAUUUAGUAUUUGGAUGUACGAACUUUUAACAGUUGUACUUUUGUAUUCAAUUUUGAUUUACUGGUUAAAUGCAAUUUUGAAUCUUAUAACUGUGUUCGAUUUUAAUACGUUUAAUCCGUGAAUCUUGCAUUCUAAACUAUCCGUAAUCGGUCAGACUCGUGGGAACGAUUCUGAAUUAAGACUAUUCUGACUUUGGACUCAAGGAGUUGACUGCCAAAUUCACAAACCUCAUUGAGAAUGACGUUGGAUGUAACUCGCAUCAAAUCAUUUUCAUGGAUCUUAGUCAUAAGAUGAUUUGAUAUUGGUAUACUCAUUUAGUAUCCUUUGACCUGAGAUACAUAUUAGAACUUCCGUUUACCAAGGAUUAUACUUUGAUUACUGUCAACCGCUGUCGCGUAACUGCCAGUCAUAAAGGCUUUAAUUGGGAAUAGUUCUGAAGUACAGUGGGAGUUGUAUGUAGUCGAUAUGGGAUUCUGUACUCUUACAUGAUAUGUAACAGUUAGACAUUGUGGCGCCCUCGUAGAUUCAAACUGGUGAAGUGUAAGGCCUUACCCAAACUUACUAUGUGUUUGUUCGGACCACUUUGACUCUUGAUCGAGAACAAUAAUAAUUGAACACCAUAUGAGAAUGAACUUAAUCCAUGUCUCAUUGAUUCAAUUUAUGUCUUUUACAGAAAGGAUGAAUGAUGACAAUUACCAUAAGUCUAUUGUCUUGCAAUUGUAAGUUGUUACUAAUGGCAAGGUGUUUUGGUUAAUGACUUUAAAGUGUCAUACCUUGUUGGGGGCAGCCAUGUGCAGCUAGAGCGUCGCUGACUGUCUGCGUUGAGGAUUUUAUCGAAGGCCGUCCAAGUGGGAGAUUGUUGGAAUUAUAUGUACGGGUUCGAUAAGUCAACGCUGCUGACCGAGCUAUGACCCGUAAGAGUUACACCUUGGGCAACGAACAUUAAAUCCACUUAACUUGGUUAACUGGUGACCACGAACAAUUAACGGAACGAAAUAUACAAUUAUCUAGAAUAAUUAUAUAUUCAUGAGAAACGAGAUUUAUUAUUUAUACGGGUUAUAAAUAAUAUAACGUUUAAUUACUUAUUUAAUUAAACUUUGUUUUUCGGGCUUCGUAUCGCAUUUGGGCUUGAACUUAUUAUAUUGGGCUUCGGGACCAAAGAGAUAAUAGGGGAUGUUAACCUAAAUAUACUACUAUAUAUAUUUUAUGUUAGUCAUCUCCUUUGGUGAGCCUACUGUCGAAGAGAUCAAAAAGAAAAGAAUUGAUUUUUGUGAAACUAUCACAGCAAAAGUUGCCGUCAAAAUUGAAAGGAGGUGUAAUUCCCUUUUUGGUUUUUGUGAUACAAUCACAUAAGAGAACAGCCGCCACUUCAAGAGAAGUGUCGCCCCCCUUUUCUUUUCUCGUGAUUCUUGUUCCGCGGGUGACACCCGGUUACCGUGUUCGUGUCUAGCACUCGUUCGUUGUACCUCGGUGUCUCACACGGUUAAUUAUUAACCACAAAGUUGAAGCGUUAUGGUGGCUAGUGGGAUACUGGACGGGGAUAUUGCUAACAUCCUGGGCGAUAUCCUGAGGUUGAUUGAAUUAACCACGUGCAGGUUAAAACCUGGGGUUUGCUAACGGUCAGAUGGACUUCUUCUCCUUGAGACUCGGGCAAAACAGUUGGGAGAAAGACGUUGAAGCCGGAAGAUGUGGAUUACAACGUUCACAUGUGGAAUAUUCGCCGGAUCCCGGAAUAACAGGAUAGUUGGUUGCUUUCUUUUUACUAUAAAUAGAUUGAUCGGAUCAGAUUAAGUCACAGACACUCUUUCACACACUUUGCUCUCUAGUCUCUAGCAAUCAUUACACACGAACACUUGUACUCAAAUCCCAUUGUAACACUUAGUUGAUCCGUAUCAUAUCCUGCACUGUAUCCUGAAGUUUGAAGCAAUAAGAAGAACAAGGCAGCUGCGAUUUUCAGCUCUCGAGGUUUUAUGCCGGCGAUCUAGAUUGAUCAAGGGCUUUCCUCGUACAUCACGU